AGCUUUGCGCAGUGGCAAUAUCAUAGCCAAUGAGGUUUACCUGAGGCGUGAUUAUUGCUAAUUGAAAAAAAAAUUCACUGCAGUCUGCACAUAAGUUUGUGCCUUUACCUUAUUUAAUUCUAGGACUCUUUAAAACUUCUCAUUUCUGCUUCUUGCACACAUCAGCCGCAGCUCCUGGAG
Molecule: small nuclear RNA, 180 nt
Filed under: Echinops telfairi (small Madagascar hedgehog)
Lineage: Eukaryota; Metazoa; Chordata; Mammalia; Afrosoricida; Tenrecidae
Description: U4 spliceosomal RNA (ENSETEG00000020428.1)
Rfam family: U4 spliceosomal RNA (bases 1-135)
About the family: U4 small nuclear RNA (U4 snRNA) is a component of the major U2-dependent spliceosome. The structure of U4 snRNA from yeast and human has been reported.
Source: RNAcentral